UGGACGAUAAAGGAGGAGAUAUUAAUGGAGACACACCCCCAUCUCCUCUGGAGAAGUAACAACAACAACAAUAAACAACAAACAAGUAAACAAACAAGAGGAGGCGGAGACAGUAAUACAGGACAAGUUAAAGUAGAUUUUGUUGUCUGAGUAUUUCCCGUUAAAGUUACUGGCUAGUCUUGAUGAGCAGUUUGGACGUCCCAAGUGGGUGGUACCAGUACGAGCUAAUUAUGAACUGGAAACAUUAAUUAAAGCAUCAAUUAAACUAGCGAAA
Long non-coding RNA from Amphimedon queenslandica, 274 nucleotides. RefSeq lists it as uncharacterized. The transcript is spliced from 2 exons. The record is from RefSeq and is a predicted model, not a curated record. NCBI's taxonomy places the organism in Eukaryota, Metazoa, Porifera, Demospongiae, Haplosclerida, Niphatidae.